CCACAAGGUCGUAUGGCAUCGCCAGUCCACUUUUUAGCAUAACGUCGUUAGCUAUUUUUUGGGUUUUUCGUUACGCACCUGGUUGUUUUUCGAUGCUGACACAACAACCACAAUUCUAGCACCUAAAAAUGACAUUCAGAAUAAACUAAUUUAGGAACGAUACACUAAAUCUAAGCCACUAAUUCGACCACAACCAUUACAUUUGGCCUUAGCAAAACAAGUCAACCCCUCAUCGAAAGCAUUAAUCACUUACCUUUGAAGUAACAACAUUUUCUAUCCACACCUAGACCACCGGAGGAGAGUUUCGCAUCUCUCGAUUCUCACCUAACAAAUCACAAUAGGAAUUAACCCAAAAAAAAAAUUCAAUCAAAAACCACAAAGCGACAAUACGCAUUGCAUUCACCGCUCAUAACUCAUGAAAAGAAUUCACUUACACCAAAAUUUGAUACUUCAACAGUGAACUUCCAAACACUCAAAACCCAAACCAAUAACAGUAGAUUAACAACCACUCAAAAUAGGGAACAAAAUCUGAACAGCAUAACCGC
RNAcentral lists this long non-coding RNA (545 nucleotides) under Gossypium raimondii (Peruvian cotton). Its description in RNAcentral is "long non-coding RNA (GRAI_LNC008011)". The record is from RNAcentral. Lineage: Eukaryota; Viridiplantae; Streptophyta; Magnoliopsida; Malvales; Malvaceae.